RNAcentral lists this ribosomal RNA (412 nucleotides) under uncultured bacterium. RNAcentral's name for it is "partial 16S ribosomal RNA". It matches the Rfam family "Bacterial small subunit ribosomal RNA", at positions 355 to 758 of the family's 1533-position model. The record is from RNAcentral.
UGGGGAAUAUUGCACAAUGGGCGCAAGCCUGAUGCAGCCAUGCCGCGUGUGUGAAGAAGGCCUUCGGGUUGUAAAGCACUUUCAGCGAGGAGGAAGGGUUCAGUGUUAAUAGCACUGUUCAUUGACGUUACUCGCAGAAGAAGCACCGGCUAACUCCGUGCCAGCAGCCGCGGUAAUACGGAGGGUGCAAGCGUUAAUCGGAAUUACUGGGCGUAAAGCGCACGCAGGCGGUUUGUUAAGUCAGAUGUGAAAUCCCCGCGCUUAACGUGGGAACUGCAUUUGAAACUGGCAAGCUAGAGUCUUGUAGAGGGGGGUAGAAUUCCAGGUGUAGCGGUGAAAUGCGUAGAGAUCUGGAGGAAUACCGGUGGCGAAGGCGGCCCCCCUGGACAAAGACUGACGCUCAGGUGCGAAA